AGCCCUGCGGAGCCCAGGGGGACCCACAGUCAAAGCAAGGAUCGCCGACAGCCAAAAGGGAAGCCGCGCUCAGGGAGAGGCCGGCGGAGAGCACGGUGGAG
Molecule: unclassified non-coding RNA, 101 nt
Filed under: Homo sapiens (human)
Lineage: Eukaryota; Metazoa; Chordata; Mammalia; Primates; Hominidae
Description: IQ motif and Sec7 domain ArfGEF 3 (ENSG00000262607.5)
Source: RNAcentral